UUAGGUUGUGUAUCCUACCUGUAUGAUGUCGCUUGGGAUCACCACCUUAAUUUUGACUUAUAUGAUCAACGUGUGUUUCUAUGAUAUCACACCAGACUAAUAUGAUUGACAUGUGUUUCUUCGGGAUCACUAGACUAAUAUGACUAAAGGUAUCUUUUAAUGGAAAGUUAACAAUUUCACAUAGUGGGAUUAUAGUUGGUCUCUUAAUGAGUAUACUUUUUAUACUCACCAUUUUUCUAUGUUUAACGCUUUUUAGGCAAAGGUAAAGAGAAGAGCAAAUUGGCAAGUGACAAGAAGAAGAUCCCGUGAUCGACCAUGUGGAAACUAUUUGGUUUGUGCUUCUAUUAUUGAUUUUAGAAAAUUAAGAUAAUUAGAUUAUUAACUGUCAUGUAAAAGUUGGAUCAUCUCUGUUAAAAAAAUUCAUGGGAUGUAAAAUGAUAUGAAAGAGGAUGAAAACGAGGAAUGACAUUCCAUAACCCACAC
Molecule: long non-coding RNA, 483 nt
Filed under: Cucumis sativus (cucumber)
Lineage: Eukaryota; Viridiplantae; Streptophyta; Magnoliopsida; Cucurbitales; Cucurbitaceae
Description: long non-coding RNA (CSAT_LNC000564)
Source: RNAcentral